CCACUGUAUGUCUCACUGUAUACAAUUUCCAUAAACUAAUCAUAAUGUUUUCUUUCUUCUUGUAUAGACUGGAAAAUCCGGGCUGCUGAUUCAGUUGCUGACCUACGAUUGUGAGGCACAACCCUUAUCACACAUGUCUGUGGCUCAAUAGUUUGAGCAUUUUGAUCUGAUGCCUGAGCUGUUGGUUCUGUAGGAAAAAGAGGGAGCGCAUCUCCUUCAGGCCUCUCCGAGGGACUACUUGCUGUACUUCCCUGUACCUCACUUUCCUUUGGUGCUUGAAAUUUCCCAACACGUGAGAUCACACGGCUCACCUGGCUUGACAUAUUAUAUGAGCUUUGGUGGGGGAAGUUGAAAUUAACUGCUAACUGAUUAUCCUUUGACUGUGGUCCAGUGAAUGGGCUCACCCGCUCAACUGCUGAUCCUGAAAUGGACAGAGUCAUGACUGGCAUGCCAUAUGGUGGAAAGUAUGUCUGUCCCAGAUGAGGGGUGCUGGUAAGGAUUCCAAUACCUUGUUGAUGAGAAGCCGGAACACCAUAGGCUGCAUUCAAAAAGUCUCCACCCCCAGCUGUUAAACUCAUAGGACCAAAGUUGCCAUAAACGGGGGCCACAAAUCCAGCAGCUGAAGGGCAUGGCCCUGUGUAAGGCUUGUAAACAAGACCCUCAGAAGGGGACAUGACCGGAAAUAACCA
Molecule: unclassified non-coding RNA, 689 nt
Filed under: Hevea brasiliensis (rubber tree)
Lineage: Eukaryota; Viridiplantae; Streptophyta; Magnoliopsida; Malpighiales; Euphorbiaceae
Source: RNAcentral